RNAcentral lists this transfer RNA (53 nucleotides) under Limnonectes kuhlii (Kuhl's wart frog). Its description in RNAcentral is "tRNA-Val". The record is from RNAcentral. Lineage: Eukaryota; Metazoa; Chordata; Amphibia; Anura; Dicroglossidae.
CAAAACCUCCCGCUUACACCGAGAAUAUAUCUGUGAAAAUCAGAUUACUUUGA